This 259-nucleotide long non-coding RNA is filed under the name Elaeis guineensis (African oil palm). RNAcentral's name for it is "long non-coding RNA (EGUI_LNC049504)". Lineage: Eukaryota; Viridiplantae; Streptophyta; Magnoliopsida; Arecales; Arecaceae. The record is from RNAcentral.
ACCAGUUAGGAAGGACCUUGGCCAACUUCUACGUGGAUCACCAUUGGAGGACUUCUACUUUGAAGUCUUAUGGAGAACAUUAAUGUGCCACUUCUUUCUUUUUAAUAAAAGUAAAAAUUCUAUCUCUUUUGCAUGCUUGUUUUUGUUUUAUCGAUUUCGACAAGGUGAUUCUAGGGUUUGGAUUCUGGCUCGAUAGUUUUAUUUGAUAAAGCUAUUGACUUGUUUGAUUUUAAAAUUUUAAAUAAUCACUUUUCGCUGC